This 691-nucleotide ribosomal RNA is filed under the name uncultured Candidatus Tremblayella sp. Its description in RNAcentral is "bacterial SSU rRNA". It matches the Rfam family "Bacterial small subunit ribosomal RNA", at positions 674 to 1359 of the family's 1533-position model. The record is from RNAcentral. Lineage: Bacteria; Pseudomonadati; Pseudomonadota; Betaproteobacteria.
AGUAGCGGUGAAAUGCGUAGAUAUCUGGAGGAAUACCAAAGGCGAAGGCAGUCCCCUGGUCCGAUACUGACACUGAGGUACGAAAGCGUGGGGAGCAAACAGGGUUAGAUACCCUGGUAGUCCACGCCCUAAACGAUGUCGAUUAGCCAUUGGAAGGACCCCUUUUCCUUUCAGUGACGUAGCUAACGCGUUAAAUCGACCGCCUGGGAAGUACGACCGCAAGGUUAAAACUCAAAGGAAUUGACGGGGACCUGAACAAGCGGUGAAUGAUGUGGAUUAAUUUCGAUGCUACGCGAAGAACCUUACCUACCUUUGACAUGGCCAAAGUUCUACCGAGAGGCGGAAGUACUCGUAAGAGGAUUGGCGCACAGGUGCUGCAUGGUUGUCGUCAGUUCGUGUCGUGAGAUGUUGGGUUCAGUCCCGCAACGAACGCAACCCUUAUCUUUAAUUGCUCCUAUUUUAACAGGCACUUUAAAGAAACUGCCAAUGAUAAGUUGGAGGAAGGUGGGGAUCACGUCAAGUCCGCAUGGCCUUUAUAGGUAGGGCUUCACACGUCAUACAAUGGUUAGAACAAAGAGCUGCAAAUUCGUAAGAAGGAGCCAAUCUCACAAACCUAACCUCAGUUCGAAUUGCGGUCUGCAACUCGAGCGCAUGAAGCCGGAAUCGCUAGUAAUCGUGGAUCAGAAUGCCA